Molecule: ribosomal RNA, 417 nt
Filed under: uncultured beta proteobacterium
Lineage: Bacteria; Pseudomonadati; Pseudomonadota; Betaproteobacteria
Description: bacterial SSU rRNA
Rfam family: Bacterial small subunit ribosomal RNA
Source: RNAcentral
GAGUUUGAUCUUGGCUCAGAGUGAACGCUGGCGGCAGGCCUAACACAUGCAAGUCGAACGGCAGCGCAGCAGUAGCAAUACUGUGGGCGGCGAGUGGCGGACGGGUGAGGAAUACAUCGGAACGUGUCCUGUCGUGGGGGGAUAACCAGUCGAAAGAUUGGCUAAUACCGCAUGACCUCGUAAGAGAAAAGCGGGGGACCGUAAGGCCUCGCGCGACUGGAGCGGCCGAUGUCGGAUUAGCUAGUUGGCGGGGUAAAAGCCCACCAAGGCGACGAUCCGUAGCUGGUUUGAGAGAACGACCAGCCACACUGGGACUGAGACACGGCCCAGACUCCUACGGGAGGCAGCAGUGGGGAAUUUUGGACAAUGGGGGCAACCCUGAUCCAGCCAUGCCGCGUGUGUGAAGAAGGCCUUCGG